Molecule: ribosomal RNA, 533 nt
Filed under: Dengshuqunia hispaniensis
Lineage: Eukaryota; Fungi; Ascomycota; Dipodascomycetes; Dipodascales
Description: eukaryotic LSU rRNA
Rfam family: Eukaryotic large subunit ribosomal RNA
Source: RNAcentral
AAACCAACAGGGAUUGCCUUAGUAACUGCGAGUGAAGCGGCAAAAGCUCAAAUUUGAAAGCUUCGGCAUUGUAAUUUGAAGAUUUGGCAUUGGAAUAAAGCUAACCCAAGUUGCUUGGAACAGCACGUCAUAGAGGGUGACAACCCCGUAUGGCUAACCGUUAUUCUAUGUAUUGCCUUAUCUAAGAGUCGAGUUGUUUGGGAAUGCAGCUCUAAGUGGGUGGUAAACUCCAUCUAAAGCUAAAUAUUGGCGAGAGACCGAUAGCGAACAAGUACUGUGAAGGAAAGAUGAAAAGAACUUUGAAAAGAGAGUGAAAAAGUAUGUGAAAUUGUUGAAAGGGAAGGGAAAAAUUGGAGGCAUGCCUUAGGGUUCACUUCUGUUUCGGCAGGAGGUACUCCCGACGGCGGGUCAUCCAGGGGGAUUACCGCAGGAUAAACGGUUAGGAAUUGCUUGCAAGGCCUUGCCACCUACUGCGCGUAGCUCCUUUGGCUGGCGUAAUCCAAUUUCUCCACCCGUCUUGAAACAACGGACCA